This is a long non-coding RNA of Aethina tumida (small hive beetle), 465 nucleotides long. RefSeq lists it as uncharacterized. The transcript has 3 exons. The record is from RefSeq and is a predicted model, not a curated record. NCBI's taxonomy places the organism in Eukaryota, Metazoa, Arthropoda, Insecta, Coleoptera, Nitidulidae.
GUAAAUUUUCUAUUUAAUCUUUCCCAAUAUGUUUUGACCCUGUUCAGUAUGCAAAGCGUGAAUUCGUCCACAUUCCAAAGUUGAAUUCCAAAGUGUUUCACAUUAUAUGGCAAAAACAAAUCAAUUGGUAUCAGAUAUAUUUGAAAUUGUGGAAAGUUUCCAAAAUGUUUAAAUUAUUUAUAGAACAGGGUUUUCAACUUGAAAAUCUAAACACACAAUAUUAUUUACAACAAAACAACGAAAAAUUAAUGUAAACAUUGUUUUCGGAAUGCGAAUCGUUUCGGUUUGUUUUUGCACAUGCAUCAAGGUGACAAAAGGCAGAUGCGAAACGCAUAAAUCUUGUGCAAAAAUUAAAACGGCGAUUUUUACGCAAUGAUGUUUGCAAGCCCAGAAAUAGAUUUCAGAUAAAUUUAGAUGUGCGCAUCCAGAUGAAACUGUUGACUCAAUCAGAAAUUUAAUUUUUUU